GAUGAACGCUGGCGGCGUGCCUAAUACAUGCAAGUCGAGCGAACAGACGAGGAGCUUGCUCCUCUGACGUUAGCGGCGGACGGGUGAGUAACACGUGUAUAACCUACCUAUAAGACUGGGAUAACUUCGGGAAACCGGAGCUAAUACCGGAUAAUAUAUUGAACCGCAUGGUUCAAUAGUGAAAGACGGUUUUGCUGUCACUUAUAGAUGGAUCCGCGCCGCAUUAGCUAGUUGGUAAGGUAACGGCUUACCAAGGCAACGAUGCGUAGCCGACCUGAGAGGGUGAUCGGCCACACUGGAACUGAGACACGGUCCAGACUCCCACGGGAGGCAGCAGUAGGGAAUCUUCCGCAAUGGGCGAAAGCCUGACGGAGCAACGCCGCGUGAGUGAUGAAGGUCUUCGGAUCGUAAAACUCUGUUAUUAGGGAAGAACAAAUGUGUAAGUAACUAUGCACGUCUUGACGGUACCUAAUCAGAAAGCCACGGCUAACUACGUG
RNAcentral lists this ribosomal RNA (497 nucleotides) under uncultured bacterium. RNAcentral describes it as "partial 16S ribosomal RNA". It matches the Rfam family "Bacterial small subunit ribosomal RNA", at positions 28 to 507 of the family's 1533-position model. The record is from RNAcentral.